This 1156-nucleotide long non-coding RNA is filed under the name Phasianus colchicus (ring-necked pheasant). RNAcentral describes it as "lncRNA (ENSPCLG00000019013.1)". The record is from RNAcentral. Lineage: Eukaryota; Metazoa; Chordata; Aves; Galliformes; Phasianidae.
CCCCACUUAUGGCUCUGACCCCCCACUUAUGGGUCCGCCCCCCACUUAUGGGUCAACCCCCCACUUAUGGGUCCGCCCCCCACUUGUGGGUCCGCCCCCCACUUAUGGGUCCCACCCCACACCUAUGGCUCUGACCCCACACUUAUGGUACCCCCCUCACUCAUCGGUCCCACUUAUGGGUCCCACUUCUGAGUCAUCUCCCAACUUAUGGGUCCCACUUAUGGGUCCGCCCCCCACUUGUGGGUCUGCCCCCCAGGUUCCUGUGGCUGUGGCUGGCGGUGCUGGUGGUUUACCCCACUUAUGGGUCCCACUUCUGGGUCAUCCCCCAACUUCUGGGUCCCACUUAUGGGUCCCACUUAUGGGUCAGCCCCCCACUUAUGGGUCCCACUUAUGGGUCAGCCCCCCACUUAUGGGUCCCACCCCACACCUAUGGCUCUGACCCCACACUUAUGGUCCCCCCUCACUUAUGUGUCCCACUUAUGGGUCCCACUUCUGGGUCAUCCCCCAACUUAUGGGUCCCACUUAUGGGUCCGCCCCCCACUUGUGGGUCUGCCCCCCAGGUUCCUGCGGCUGUGGCUGGCGGUGCUGGUGGUUUACCCCACGAACCAGGCUGUGAUCGCGCUCACCUUCUCCUCCUACGCCCUGCAGCCGUUCGCCGGCUGCUCCGCCCCCCCCGAGGCGUCCGUCCGUCUGCUGGCCGCCGUCUGUCUGCGUCAGUCCCACCCCACAACCCCACAACCACCCCACAACCACCCCGGAACCAUAAAACCCCAUUAAAAGCCCCCAUAACGCCAUGAUAACACUAUAACCCCAUAAUGACCCCAGAACCCCAUAAUGACCCCAUAAUGACCCCAUAACGACCCCGUAAAUGAUCCCAGAUCCCAGAACCCCAUAACGACCCCAUAACGACCCCAUAACGACCCCACAACCACCCCACAACCAUAAAACCCCAUAAAACGACCCCAUAACCCCAUGAUAACACUAUAACCCCAUAAUGACCCCAUAACUCCAUAACGACCCCGUAAUGAUCCCAGAUCCCAGAACCCCAUAACGACCCCAUAACGACCCCAUAACGACCCCACAACCACCCCGGAACCAUAAAACCCCAUAAAACGACCCCAUAACUCCAUGAUAACACCAUAACCCCAUAAUGACC